GGGAAUGUGAAUACUUUGAAAAAGUAUAUUUCUGUUUUAGGUUAGAUGGCCUCUCGAAGAGAUGUGUCUUUAAGAAUCCCCAUAGUAAAAAGUACUUUCAGGUUCGAUCUUCUCCAACUUUACACGUAAGACUGUAAGCUGUGAUAUUUUUAUUUAUUUUUUAUAUAUAUAUAUUUUGUAAUGGAUUUUUCUCAGCAAUCUCUAGUUUCUGGUUAUAGUACUAAAUAUUGUAGUUAUCCCAAUUGUUCUAACAAAUAUCUUAUUGUUAAAAAUUUCAAUUUUAAGAAUAAGUCUUUUUUUAAACCACCAUUAAAUUCAGAUAUUAAUCUAUCUUGGCGUUCUAUUUGUGAUAUUAAAAGUUCUGUAAAAACGUUUUAUAUAUGUGAGGAUCAUUUUUUAUCUUCAGAUUUUA
Long non-coding RNA from Aethina tumida (small hive beetle), 412 nucleotides. RefSeq lists it as uncharacterized. The transcript has 3 exons. Lineage: Eukaryota; Metazoa; Arthropoda; Insecta; Coleoptera; Nitidulidae. The record is from RefSeq and is a predicted model, not a curated record.